UACGUAGGGGGCAAGCGUUGUCCGGAUUUAUUGGGCGUAAAGCGCGUGUAGGCGGCCAGGUAGGUCGGUUGUGAAAACUGGAGGCUCAACCUCCAGACGUCGACCGAAACCAUCUGGCUAGAGUCCGGAAGAGGAGAGUGGAAUUCCUGGUGUAGCGGUGAAAUGCGCAGAUAUCAGGAAGAACACCGAUGGCGAAGGCAGCUCUCUGGGACGGUACUGACGCUGAGGCGCGAAAGCUAGGGGAGCGAACAGG
RNAcentral lists this ribosomal RNA (253 nucleotides) under uncultured bacterium. RNAcentral describes it as "partial 16S ribosomal RNA". It matches the Rfam family "Bacterial small subunit ribosomal RNA", at positions 524 to 776 of the family's 1533-position model. The record is from RNAcentral.